This 891-nucleotide ribosomal RNA is filed under the name Kendrickiella phycomyces. Its description in RNAcentral is "LSU rRNA". It matches the Rfam family "Eukaryotic large subunit ribosomal RNA", at positions 38 to 966 of the family's 3401-position model. Lineage: Eukaryota; Fungi; Ascomycota. The record is from RNAcentral.
GCAUAUCAUAGCGAGAAAGAAUCACAGGAUUGCCCCAGUAACGGCGAGUGAAGCGGCAACAGCUCAGAUUUGGAAUCUGGCCCCCAGGGCCCGAGUUGUAAUCUGGAGAGGAUGCUUCUGGCGCGGCGCCUUCCGAGUUCCCUGGAACGGGACGCCGGAGAGGGUGAGAGCCCCGUACGGUUGGACGCCUAGCCUUUGUGAAGCUCCUUCGACGAGUCGAGUAGUUUGGGAAUGCUGCUCAAAAUGGGAGGUAAAUUUCUUCUAAAGCUAAAUACCGGCCAGAGACCGAUAGCGCACAAGUAGAGUGAUCGAAAGAUGAAAAGCACUUUGAAAAGAGGGUCAAACAGUACGUGAAAUUGUUGAAAGGGAAGCGCCCGUGGCCAGACUUGUGCCCCGCGGACCACCCGGCGCCCUCAGCGCCGGUGCACUCCGCGGGGCGCAGGCCAGCAUCGGUUUUCCUAGGGGGAUAAAGGCGGCGGGAACGUGGCUCCUUCGGGAGUGUUAUAGCCCGUCGUGCCAUGCCCCUGGGGGGACCGAGGACCGCGCUUCGGCAAGGAUGCUGGCGUAAUGGCCACCGGCGACCCGUCUUGAAACACGGACCAAGGAGUCAAGCAUUGGGGCGAGUGUCUGGGUGCCAAACCCGCACGCGAAAUGAAAGUGAACGCAGGUGAGAGCUUCGGCGCAUCAUCGACCGAUCCUGAUGUUCUCGGAUGGAUUUGAGUAAGAGCCUUACCGCUUGGACCCGAAAGAUGGUGAACUAUGCCUGUAUAGGGUGAAGCCAGAGGAAACUCUGGUGGAGGCUCGCAGCGGUUCUGACGUGCAAAUCGAUCGUCAAAUAUGGGCAUGGGGCGAAAGACUAAUCGAACAUCUAGUAGCUGGAUACUGCGGAAG